CGUAGGGUGCAGGCGUUAAUCGGAAUUACUGGGCGUAAAGCGUGCGCAGGCGGCUCCUUAAGUCAGAUGUGAAAGCCCCGGGCUUAACCUGGGAACUGCGUUUGAAACUGGGGAGCUGGAGUGUAGAAGAGGGGGUGGAAUUCCAGGUGUAGCAGUGAAAUGCGUAGAGAUCUGGAGGAACACCGAUGGCGAAGGCAGCCCCCUCGGGCUAACACUGACGCUCAUGCACGAAAGCGUGGGGAGCAAACAGGAUUAGAUACCCUGGUAGUCCACGCCCUAAACGAUGUCAACUGGUUGUCGGGGAAGUAAUUCCUUGGUAACGAAGCUAACGCGUGAAGUUGACCGCCUGGGGAGUACGGCCGCAAGGCUA
This 370-nucleotide ribosomal RNA is filed under the name uncultured organism. RNAcentral's name for it is "bacterial SSU rRNA". It matches the Rfam family "Bacterial small subunit ribosomal RNA", at positions 526 to 896 of the family's 1533-position model. The record is from RNAcentral.